UUAAAUUGAAGAGUUUGAUCAUGGCUCAGAUUGAACGCUGGCGGCAGGCCUAACACAUGCAAGUCGGGCGGAAACGACAUCAACAAUCCUUCGGGUGCGUUUAUGGGCGUCGAGCGGCGGACGGGU
This 126-nucleotide ribosomal RNA is filed under the name Vibrio albus. RNAcentral's name for it is "Vibrio sp. E4404 partial 16S ribosomal RNA". It matches the Rfam family "Bacterial small subunit ribosomal RNA", at positions 1 to 107 of the family's 1533-position model. Lineage: Bacteria; Pseudomonadati; Pseudomonadota; Gammaproteobacteria; Vibrionales; Vibrionaceae. The record is from RNAcentral.